UAGGGAAUUUUGCACAAUGGGGGAAACCCUGAUGCAGCGACGCCGCGUGAUUUAGAAGGCCUUCGGGUUGUAAAAAUCUUUUCUAUGGGAAGAAAAUGACAGUACCAUAGGAAUAAGGACCGGCUAAUUACGUGCCAGCAGCCGCGGUAAUACGUAAGGUCCGAGCGUUGUCCGGAAUCAUUGGGCGUAAAGGGUACGUAGGCGGGUAAGCAAGUUAGAAGUGAAAUCCUGUAGCUCAACUACAGUAAGCUUUUAAAACUGCUCAUCUUGAGAUAUGGAAGGGAAAGUGGAAUUCCUAGUGUAGCGGUGAAAUGCGCAGAUAUUAGGAGGAAUACCGGUGGCGAAGGCGACUUUCUGGCCAUAAUCUGACGCUGAGGUACGAAAGCGUGGGUAGCAAACAGG
RNAcentral lists this ribosomal RNA (402 nucleotides) under Bacteroidota bacterium. Its description in RNAcentral is "Bacteroidetes bacterium partial 16S ribosomal RNA". It matches the Rfam family "Bacterial small subunit ribosomal RNA", at positions 355 to 776 of the family's 1533-position model. Lineage: Bacteria; Pseudomonadati; Bacteroidota. The record is from RNAcentral.